This is a non-coding RNA of Carassius auratus (goldfish), 401 nucleotides long. The record is from the annotation of a RefSeq genome assembly. Lineage: Eukaryota; Metazoa; Chordata; Actinopteri; Cypriniformes; Cyprinidae.
UCUUCAUCAACAUGACCUUCAUCAUCAUCUUCAUCUGGACUCUCACAGCGUUUGCUCAAGAGUGUAGAGGACAGAUCAGCGUCACUCAGAGUCCCUCAACGACAGCAGCUCAACCAGGAGAAACAGUGAAGAUCAGCUGUAGAACCAGCACAGAUGUGCUUGAACGUAGUGCACCACGUUACUAUUUUAGCUGGUACUUACAGAAACCUGGAGAAGCUCCUAAACUCCUGAUUUAUUAUACGAUAGACCGUUACACUGGAACUCCAUCUAGAUUCAGUGGAACGAGUUCAUCUGCAACUGAUUUCACUUUGACCAUCAGUGGAGUCCAGACUGAAGAUGCUGGACAUUAUUACUGUCUGAGUUACCACUACAUCAACAGUGGUGGUGUGUUCACACAGUGA